Molecule: long non-coding RNA, 1058 nt
Organism: Tyto alba (common barn owl)
Lineage: Eukaryota; Metazoa; Chordata; Aves; Strigiformes; Tytonidae
Exons: 3
Source: RefSeq, a predicted model, not a curated record
AAGCGACGCGGGGCCGUUGAGUAGCGGAGCGAAAAAAAAAAAAAAAAAAAAAGGCAAAAAAAAAAAAAAAGCGGAUCUCGUCUCCCCCCGCCGGUAACCGAAACGGGUAAUUAACUGUUUCCUCUCCCCCGAUCUUCUUCCCGGCCGUGCUCGGCGGUGCCGGACGGCUUUGUUUUCGGUUUGAAGGUAAUAACACCGAUGUCAACAGAAGUUUCCUUCUUCUGCCUGGGCAUGGAGUAACCCUAACAACAAUGCUAAUAAAGAAGAGCCUGUAAUGGUUUCUCCUGGACCGAGUCCGAUUUCAAGCCUGGGAAAUGGAGGAGUCUGAGCCCUGAAGCUGAUGCUGCUGUCAGAAUAAAAGGUGCCUGUGGAAGCUCUCACAUCUGAGCAGGAUCGUGUUGGGGAUCCUCAUCUUCCCACUGGGUGAGUAGCCCCUACCGUGGGCCUGGCCUGGGCAGGGGCUCCGGACCUACAGCGUGAGAGGCAGAUUUAUAAAAAUUAGGCAUUUAGCCCUGCUGGGUUUUGAGGACAUAUUCUGCUCAUUUGGUAGAGUUAGCCUACGAAAGUCUGUUAUUUCCCUGCCAACUAAUUAUUACUGUUGCUGUUGUUAUUAUUAUUAUUAUUGUUGUUGUUGUUAUUAUUAUUAUUGUUGUUGUUAUUAUUAUUAUGAUGUUGAUGAUGGUGGUUGUUGUUCUUUCAUAAGCUGUAAUGGAAAUACUCCACAUUUUAAAUUGAAUUCUGGUUCUUGGAGAAAAUGACCCUUUAAAACUGGAUUACUGGUCUAACUGAGGUUGGAAGUGCCUUUUAUUAGACCCUUACUUUUCUGUAAAGAGGGUGGUGAAGCUUUAGCCUUGCCCUAUCUCUGUGUCUGGUCCCGGCUCCAUCCCAGUUCCCUCAGGCAUGGGAUGCAGGCACUUGGCUGCUGCGUCUCCAGUGUUGUCCUUGGCUCACUUAUGGCUAUGCCAUGUUCUAAGACAGAAUAGAGUACAAUUUCAUAAGGUGUUAUCAUCCCAUAUUGUAUUUUUGUAUUUUUGUCUUUUAAAAGAGAUGUAUAAAAU